RNAcentral lists this ribosomal RNA (415 nucleotides) under Heteroglymma albicans. RNAcentral describes it as "partial 16S ribosomal RNA". The record is from RNAcentral. Lineage: Eukaryota; Metazoa; Arthropoda; Insecta; Coleoptera; Curculionidae.
CGAUAAGAACUCUCAAAAAAAAUUACGCUGUUAUCCCUAAGGUAAUUUAAUCUUUUAAUCUAAAUCUUAGGAUCAAUAAUUUACAUAUAAAUAUUUUAAUAAAAAAAAAGUUUAUUUAAUUUUUCAAUCACCCCAACUAAAUUAAUAUAUCUACAUAAAAACUUAAAUUCUACUUCUUUAUAAAUAAAUAUCAAUAAAACUCUAUAGGGUCUUCUCGUCUUUAAUUCAAAUUUAAGCUUUUUAACUUAAAAAUAAAAUUCUAAUUAAUUUAAAUAGAGACAGUCAUUUUCUCAUCUAACCUUUCAUUCCAGCUUUCAAUUAAAAAACUAAUGAUUAUGCUACCUUUGCACGGUCAAAUUACCGCGGCCAUUUAAAUACUCAUUGGGCAGGCCARACCUUAAAUUAUAAUCAAAAA